This 292-nucleotide ribosomal RNA is filed under the name uncultured Verrucomicrobiota bacterium. RNAcentral's name for it is "uncultured Verrucomicrobia bacterium partial 16S ribosomal RNA". The record is from RNAcentral. Lineage: Bacteria; Pseudomonadati; Verrucomicrobiota.
GGACUACUGGGGUAUCUAAUCCCUUUUGCUCCCCACGCUUUCGUGCCUGAGCGUCAGUAACUGUCCAGGUGACCGCCUUCGCCUCUGGUGUUCUUCACGAUAUCUACGCAUUUCACUGCUACACCGUGAGUUCCGUCACCCUCUCCAGUACUCUAGCCGUGUAGUUUGAGGUGCAAUUCCGGGGUUGAGCCCCGGGCUUUCACGCCCCACACACACGGCCGCCUGCGCACCCUUUACGCCCAGUGAAUCCGAAUAACGCUCGCAGUCUCUGUAUUACCGCGGCUGCUGGCAC